AACGGUCUAUACCUGCGGUACCUGCGGAGGGAUCAUUAUCGAAUUUCGACGGGGGCGCUCGGUUCGGCCCGCACCGGUGGAGACGCCGUGAUGCGGUCGGGCCAGCGCCCUCUUCCAAACUCAAACCCCUGUGAACCUUUUGGGAGGGAUGCGCCGAGUUUCGGAGCGCCCUCCCGUUCCAUAACCAACUCUGAUGUCUAUUUGAAUGUCGAGAUUCGGGGCAGCCCCGAUGUCGAAACU
Molecule: unclassified non-coding RNA, 240 nt
Filed under: soil metagenome
Description: partial contains 5.8S ribosomal RNA, internal transcribed spacer 2, and large subunit ribosomal RNA
Source: RNAcentral